This is a small nuclear RNA of Tupaia belangeri (northern tree shrew), 104 nucleotides long. Lineage: Eukaryota; Metazoa; Chordata; Mammalia; Scandentia; Tupaiidae. The record is from Ensembl.
GUGCUUGCUUCGGCAGCACAUCUAUUAGAAUUGGAAUGCUGCAGAGAUUAGCCUGGCACCUGUACAAGGAUGACACACCGAUUCCUGAAAAAGAAUUUUCAUUC